UACGGAGGGUGCAAGCGUUAUCCGGAUCCACUGGGUUUAAAGGGUGCGUAGGCGGACAGGUAAGUCAGUGGUGAAAUCUCUGGGCUUAACCCAGAAACUGCCGUUGAUACUAUUUGUCUUGAAUAUCCUGGAGGUAGGCGGAAUAUGUCAUGUAGCGGUAAAAUGCUUAGAUAUGACAUAGAACACCGAUAGCGAAGGCAGCUUACUACAGGAUGAUUGACGCUGAGGCACGAAAGCGUGGGGAGCAAACAGG
RNAcentral lists this ribosomal RNA (253 nucleotides) under uncultured bacterium. Its description in RNAcentral is "partial 16S ribosomal RNA". It matches the Rfam family "Bacterial small subunit ribosomal RNA", at positions 524 to 776 of the family's 1533-position model. The record is from RNAcentral.